Molecule: ribosomal RNA, 253 nt
Filed under: uncultured bacterium
Lineage: Bacteria
Description: partial 16S ribosomal RNA
Rfam family: Bacterial small subunit ribosomal RNA
Source: RNAcentral
UACGUAGGGGGCAAGCGUUGUCCGGAAUCAUUGGGCGUAAAGAGCGUGUAGGCGGUCCGGUAAGUCGGUUGUGAAAGUCCAGGGCUCAACCCUGGGAUGCCGACCGAUACUGUCGGACUAGAGUUCGGAAGAGGCGAGUGGAAUUCCCGGUGUAGCGGUGAAAUGCGUAGAUAUCUGGAGGAACACCGGUGGCGAAGGCGGCAUCCUGGACCAAUAUUGACGCUGAGGAGCGAAAGCCAGGGGAGCAAACGGG